CCUGGGACCACUGACCCGCCCCACCCAUCCAGACGGCUGGUCUGCCAGACACGCUCCUUGCUGUUUGGGGUUUUAGACGUCACAGUCUGUACUGGAGUCUUCCGCCUGACAACCGGCUCAAGCCAUUUACAGCCAGAAGAGAUUCUGAAUGAAGCAUUUUCUCUAACUUCAUGGUACAGAGGAGGAACGGAAGAUGCAGGGGCGCAGGGACUUGGGAAGAGCAUCAUGAGUAUAACCCAAGACUCCGGGAAACAUCGGAUUCAUUUGACCAGCCAUCUUUGAUCUCAAAGCUGGCGAGGCAUGGAAGGACUGUUUGG
RNAcentral lists this long non-coding RNA (317 nucleotides) under Canis lupus dingo (dingo). Its description in RNAcentral is "lncRNA (ENSCAFG00020005833.1)". The record is from RNAcentral. Lineage: Eukaryota; Metazoa; Chordata; Mammalia; Carnivora; Canidae.